Molecule: ribosomal RNA, 254 nt
Filed under: uncultured bacterium
Lineage: Bacteria
Description: partial 16S ribosomal RNA
Rfam family: Bacterial small subunit ribosomal RNA
Source: RNAcentral
UACGUAGGGGGGCAAGCGUUGUCCGGAUUUAUUGGGCGUAAAGAGCGUGUAGGCGGUUUGGUAGGUCCGCUGUGAAAACUCGAGGCUCAACCUCGAGACGCCGGUGGAAACCAUCAGACUAGAGUCCGGAAGAGGAGAGUGGAAUUCCUGGUGUAGCGGUGAAAUGCGCAGAUAUCAGGAAGAACACCCGUGGCUAAGGCGGCUCUCUAGUACGGUACUGACGCUGAGACGCGAAAGCGUGGGGAGCGAACAGG